AGAGUUUGAUCCUGGCUCAGAUUGAACGCUAGCGGGAUGCUUUACACAUGCAAGUCGAACGGCAGCGCGAGAGAGCUUGCUCUCUUGGCGGCGAGUGGCGGACGGAGGAGUAAUAUAUCGGAACGUGCCCAGUAGCGGGGGAUAACUACUCGAAAGAGUGGCUAAUACCGCAUACGCCCUACGGGGGAAAGGACGGUAUCGCAAGACCUCUCACUAUUGGAGCGGCCGAUAUCGGAUUAGCUAGUUGGUGGGGUAAAGGCUCACCAAGGCAACGAUCCGUAGCUGGUUUGAGAGGACGACCAGCCACACUGGGACUGAGACACGGCCCAGACUCCUACGGGAGGCAGCAGUGGGGAAUUUUGGACAAUGGGGGAAACCCUGAUCCAGCCAUCCCGCGUGUAUGAUGAAGGCCUUCGGGUUGUAAAGUACUUUAGGCAGAGAAGAAAAGGUAUCCCCUAAUACGGGAUACUGCUGACGUAUCUGCAGAAUAAGCACCGGCUAACUACGUGCCAGCAGCCGCGGUAAUACGUAGGGUGCAAGCGUUAAUCGGAAUUACUGGGCGUAAAGCGUGUGUAGGCGGUUCGGAAAGAAAGAUGUGAAAUCCCAGGGCUCAACCUUGGAACUGCAUUUUUAACUGCCGAGCUAGAGUAUGUCAGAGGGGGGUAGAACUCCACGUGUAGCAGUGAAAUGCGUAGAUAUGUGGAGGAAUACCGAUGGCGAAGGCAGCCCCCCUGGGAUAAUACUGACGCUCAGACACGAAAGCGUGGGGAGCAAACAGGAUUAGAUACCCUGGUAGUCCACGCCCUAAACGAUGUCAACUAGCUGUUGGGGCCGUUAGACCUUAGUAGCGCAGCUAACGCGUGAAGUUGACCGCCUGGGGAGUACGGUCGGCAAGAUUAAAACUCAAAGGAAUUGACGGGGACCCGCACAAGGCGGUGGAUGAUGUGGAUUAAUUCGAUGCAACGCGAAAAACCUUACCUACCCUUGACAUGUCUGGAAAGCCGAAGAGAUUUGGCCGUGCUCGCAAGAGAACCGGAACACAGGUGCUUGCAUGGCUGUCGUCAGCUCGUGUCGUGAGAUGUUGGGUUAAGUCCCGCAACGAGCGCAACCCUUGUCAUUAGUUGCUACGCAAGAGCACUCUAAUGAGACUGCCGGUGACAAACCGGAGGAAGGUGGGGAUGACGUCAAGUCCUCAUGGCCCUUAUGGGUAGGGCUUCACACGUCAUACAAUGGUCGGGACAGAGGGUCGCCAACCCGCGAGGGGGAGCCAAUCUCAGAAACCCGAUCGUAGUCCGGAUCGCAGUCUGCAACUCGACUGCGUGAAGUCGGAAUCGCUAGUAAUCGCGGAUCAGAAUGUCGCGGUGAAUACGUUCCCGGGUCUUGUACACACCGCCCGUCACACCAUGGGAGUGGGUUUCACCAGAAGUAGGUAGCCUAACCGCAAGGAGGGCGCUUACCACGGUGGGAUUCAUGACUGGGGUGAAGUCGUAACAAGGUAGCCGUA
Molecule: ribosomal RNA, 1504 nt
Filed under: Alcaligenes faecalis
Lineage: Bacteria; Pseudomonadati; Pseudomonadota; Betaproteobacteria; Burkholderiales; Alcaligenaceae
Description: bacterial SSU rRNA
Rfam family: Bacterial small subunit ribosomal RNA
Source: RNAcentral